UACGUAGGGUGCGAGCGUUAAUCGGAAUUACUGGGCGUAAAGGGUGCGCAGGCGGCGUCGCAAGUCAGGCGUGAAAUCCCCGGGCUUAACCUGGGAACUGCACUUGAAACUACGAUGCUGGAGUAUGGCAGAGGGAGGUGGAAUUCCACGUAUAGCGGUGAAAUGCGUAGAGAUGUGGAGGAACACCGAUGGCGAAGGCAGCCUCCUGGGCCAAUACUGACGCUCAUGCACGAAAGCGUGGGGAGCAAACAGG
This 253-nucleotide ribosomal RNA is filed under the name uncultured bacterium. RNAcentral describes it as "partial 16S ribosomal RNA". It matches the Rfam family "Bacterial small subunit ribosomal RNA", at positions 524 to 776 of the family's 1533-position model. The record is from RNAcentral.